RNAcentral lists this ribosomal RNA (750 nucleotides) under uncultured bacterium. RNAcentral describes it as "bacterial SSU rRNA". It matches the Rfam family "Bacterial small subunit ribosomal RNA", at positions 43 to 804 of the family's 1533-position model. The record is from RNAcentral.
CAGGCCUAACACAUGCAAGUCGAACGGAAAGGCCCUGCUUUUGUGGGGUGCUCGAGUGGCGAACGGGUGAGUAACACGUGAGUAACCUGCCCUUGACUUUGGGAUAACUUCAGGAAACUGGGGCUAAUACCGGAUAGGAGCUCCUGCUGCAUGGUGGGGGUUGGAAAGUUUCGGCGGUUGGGGAUGGACUCGCGGCUUAUCAGCUUGUUGGUGGGGUAGUGGCUUACCAAGGCUUUGACGGGUAGCCGGCCUGAGAGGGUGACCGGCCACAUUGGGACUGAGAUACGGCCCAGACUCCUACGGGAGGCAGCAGUGGGGAAUAUUGCACAAUGGGCGGAAGCCUGAUGCAGCAACGCCGCGUGCGGGAUGACGGCCUUCGGGUUGUAAACCGCUUUCGCCUGUGACGAAGCGUGAGUGACGGUAAUGGGUAAAGAAGCACCGGCUAACUACGUGCCAGCAGCCGCGGUGAUACGUAGGGUGCGAGCGUUGUCCGGAUUUAUUGGGCGUAAAGGGCUCGUAGGUGGUUGAUCGCGUCGGAAGUGUAAUCUUGGGGCUUAACCCUGAGCGUGCUUUCGAUACGGGCUGACUUGAGGAAGGUAGGGGAGAAUGGAAUUCCUGGUGGAGCGGUGGAAUGCGCAGAUAUCAGGAGGAACACCAGUGGCGAAGGCGGUUCUCUGGGCCUUUCCUGACGCUGAGGAGCGAAAGCGUGGGGAGCGAACAGGCUUAGAUACCCUGGUAGUCCACGCUGUA